This 417-nucleotide long non-coding RNA is filed under the name Dermacentor andersoni. RNAcentral's name for it is "uncharacterized LOC126518725". The record is from RNAcentral. Lineage: Eukaryota; Metazoa; Arthropoda; Arachnida; Ixodida; Ixodidae.
GAGAACCGUGGUGACGUCACGAGAGUCACUAGUGAUCACCUCAUUCGACUUUGUGAUAAUGAGCAGGUUGUUGCUCUUUAAAAGCCAUUUCGUUUGAUAUGCAUGUCGGCAGGUUAGGAGAGUGCAUGGUUGGGUGAGAACCGUGGUGACGUCACGUGCGUCACUAGUGAUCACCUCAUUCGACUUUGCGAUAAUGAGCAGGUUGUUGCUCUUCAAAAGCCAUUUCGUUUGAUAUGCAUGUCGGCAGGUUAGGAGAGUGCAUGGUUGGGUGAGUACCAUGAUGAUGUCAUGGGAGUCACUAGUGAUCACGUCAUUGGCUGGGUGAUGGUGAGCCGGUUAUUACCCUUUAUAAGCCACUUCGUUUGAUAUGCAUGCCGGCAGUUUAUGAUAGUGCAUGCGUGAGAAGCGUGGUGACGU